CCUACGGGAGGCAGCAGUGAGGAAUAUUGGUCAAUGGGCGCGAGCCUGAACCAGCCAAGUAGCGUGAAGGAUGACUGCCCUACGGGUUGUAAACCUCUUUUAUAAAGGAUUAAAGGGCGGCACGUGGCCCUUUUUGUAGGUCCUUUAUGAAUAAGAAUCGGCUAACUCCGUGCCAGCAGCCGCGGUAAUACGGGGGAUCCGAGCGUUAUCCGGAUUUAUUGGGUUUAAAGGGAGCGUAGAUGGGUUGUUAAGUCAGUUGUGAAAGUUUGGGGCUCAACCGUAAAAUUGCAUUUGAUACUGGCAGCCUUGAGUACAGUUGGGGUAGGCGGAAUUCGUGGUGUAGCGGUGAAAUGCUUAGAUAUCACGAAGAACUCCGAUUGCGAAGGCAGCUUACUAAACUGCCACUGACAUUGAUGCUCGAAAGUGUGGGUAUCAAACAGGAUUAGAUACCCUAGUAGUC
Molecule: ribosomal RNA, 460 nt
Filed under: uncultured bacterium
Lineage: Bacteria
Description: partial 16S ribosomal RNA
Rfam family: Bacterial small subunit ribosomal RNA
Source: RNAcentral